GCGGGAGUGGCGGAACUGGCAGACGCGCUGGACUUAGGAUCCAGUGUCCUUGUGACGUGAGGGUUCGACUCCCUCCUCCCGCACCA
Molecule: transfer RNA, 86 nt
Filed under: Desulfurobacterium indicum
Lineage: Bacteria; Pseudomonadati; Aquificota; Aquificia; Desulfurobacteriales; Desulfurobacteriaceae
Description: tRNA-Leu
Rfam family: tRNA
About the family: Transfer RNA (tRNA) molecules are approximately 80 nucleotides in length. Their secondary structure includes four short double-helical elements and three loops (D, anti-codon, and T loops). Further hydrogen bonds mediate the characteristic L-shaped molecular structure. tRNAs have two regions of fundamental functional importance: the anti-codon, which is responsible for specific mRNA codon recognition, and the 3' end, to which the tRNAs corresponding amino acid is attached (by aminoacyl-tRNA synthetases). tRNAs cope with the degeneracy of the genetic code in two manners: having more than one tRNA (with a specific anti-codon) for a particular amino acid; and 'wobble' base-pairing, i.e. permitting non-standard base-pairing at the 3rd anti-codon position.
Source: RNAcentral